UUGGAGGGCAAGUCUGGUGCCAGCAGCCGCGGUAAUUCCAGCUCCAAUAGCGUAUAUUAAAGUUGUUGCAGUUAAAAAGCUCGUAGUUGAACUUCGGGAUCAAUUGAUUGGUCAUGCCGUUGGUAUGUACUGGUCAUAUUGGUUCUCACCUUCUAAGGAACCAUAAUGUCAUUAAUUUGAUGUUUUGGGGAAUUAGGACUGUUACCUUGAAAAAAUUAGAGUGUUUAAAGCAGGCUAACGCUUGAAUACAUUAGCAUGGAAUAAUGAAAUAGGACAUCGCAUUCUAUUUUGUUGGUUUCUAGGAUCGAUGUAAUGAUUAAUAGGGAUAGUUGGG
RNAcentral lists this small RNA (334 nucleotides) under uncultured Septoglomus. Its description in RNAcentral is "SSU rRNA". It matches the Rfam family "Eukaryotic small subunit ribosomal RNA", at positions 548 to 886 of the family's 1831-position model. The record is from RNAcentral. Lineage: Eukaryota; Fungi; Glomeromycota; Glomeromycetes; Glomerales; Glomeraceae.